This 769-nucleotide long non-coding RNA is filed under the name Gallus gallus (chicken). RNAcentral's name for it is "long non-coding RNA NONGGAT005647". Lineage: Eukaryota; Metazoa; Chordata; Aves; Galliformes; Phasianidae. The record is from RNAcentral.
CUUGUGUGCGCUGCGGGAUGUGCGCUGUGGUGGUGGAGGGGGUCCUUGUGAGGAGAGCAAGGCCCCGUGAGGGGAGCAGGGCCCGUGUGGAGCUCUUCAUGCCUUCACUGCUGCUCCUGCGGCCUGCCCGCAUUGCUUCCUCUGUGGAAGUGAGGUGGAGUGUCUGUGGUGGUGGAGGCGUACUCAGGGCCUGCAGUUUUCCAAGACAGGGUAGAGCGUGGAAUGGGAACGAUGUCUGCCAAACUUACAGCUUUUAAGCUUAAAAGAUUUAAACGAAGAUUGGAAAGGAUCUCAAUGCACUGAGUACAAGAGGGGGAAACAAAGAUGGAGGGAGAAUACAGGAGUCACUGCAUCUGCUAACAUAUGUGCACCAGAAAUGCAGCAACAAAGCACAGAUCUUGAAUUCACAAAGCACAAGCUAUGGAUUCACUGUUCCAUUGCAGAUAUUACAGUUCUGCUCAGCUACCACAAGAGGGACGUAGAAGGAAAGCUAAGAUAGCCCGGGAGAAAAAAACAAAUCGAAAGAGCAGCUUCAUGCAGGUUCAGCUGCACUGUGGCUAUAAAAAAGUAUUCCUGAAGCAAACUGGAUAAGUACUUUAAAGCAAUGGAGGAAAAGGAGGAGAAGAUCUUGACAUUUCUUCAGUGAUCUCGGAUGAAGAAGAUACUUAGAUAUUAAGGUGAUGAAUGACAUACAAAGAUAGUAGCAGUAUAUGAAACUAGCUAUAAACUCUGUGCUACAAACCAGUUUUCCUUCCCUGUCUAAGCUAAG